Homo sapiens (human) is the source of this 1357-nucleotide RNA transcript. It is a transcript of the gene named serine hydrolase like (pseudogene), with no coding region annotated. Lineage: Eukaryota; Metazoa; Chordata; Mammalia; Primates; Hominidae. The record is from RefSeq and is marked validated. The transcript has 11 exons.
GAAGCAGGGCCUGGAACUGCAGGAUACACUCCCCUCCUGCUACCUAGGCAGGCGUGAGGGUGUGACGGCCGCGCAUUCGCCAGACGAGAGCGAUGGCUGAGAACGCCGCACCAGGUCUGAUCUCAGAGCUGAAGCUGGCUGUGCCCUGGGGCCACAUCGCAGCCAAAGCCUGGGGCUCCCUGCAGGGCCCUCCAGUUCUCUGCCUGCACGGCUGGCUGGACAAUGCCAGCUCCUUCGACAGACUCAUCCCUCUUCUCCCGCAAGACUUUUAUUACGUUGCCAUGGAUUUCGGAGGUCAUGGGCUCUCGUCCCAUUACAGCCCAGGUGUCCCAUAUUACCUCCAGACUUUUGUGAGUGAGAUCCGAAGAGUUGUGGCAGCCUUGAAAUGGAAUCGAUUCUCCAUUCUGGGCCACAGCUUCGGUGGCGUCGUGGGCGGAAUGUUUUUCUGUACCUUCCCCGAGAUGGUGGAUAAACUUAUCUUGCUGGACACGCCGCUCUUUCUCCUGGAAUCAGAUGAAAUGGAGAACUUGCUGACCUACAAGCGGAGAGCCAUAGAGCACGUGCUGCAGGUAGAGGCCUCCCAGGAGCCCUCGCACGUGUUCAGCCUGAAGCAGCUGCUGCAGAGGCAGAGAACAGCAUUGACUUCGUCAGCAGGGAGCUGUGUGCGCAUUCCAUCAGGAAGCUGCAGGCCCAUGUCCUGUUGAUCAAAGCAGUCCACGGAUAUUUUGAUCCAAGAGAGAAUUACUCUGACAAGGAGUCCCUGUCGUUCAUGAUAGACACAAUGAAAUCCACCCUCAAAGAGGACUACUUCGGAUACAAUCACAGCAACCCUGGCCUCGGCCCUGCCCUGUCCCUGCCAUGCAACUUCACAACUCAGCUGGCCUAGACCCCUGGGAGGCCUCCAAGUCCCUAAGCGGUUCCAGUUUGUGGAAGUCCCAGGCAAUCACUGUGUCCACAUGAGCGAACCCCAGCACGUGGCCAGUAUCAUCAGCUCCUUCUUACAGUGCACACACACGCUCCCAGCCCAGCUGUAGCUCUGGGCCUGGAACUAUGAAGACCUAGUGCUCCCAGACUCAACACUGGGACUCUGAGUUCCUGAGCCCCACAACAAGGCCAGGGAUGGUGGGGACAGGCCUCACUAGUCUUGAGGCCCAGCCUAGGAUGGUAGUCAGGGGAAGGAGCGAGAUUCCAACUUCAACAUCUGUGACCUCAAGGGGGAGACAGAGUCUGGGUUCCAGGGCUGCUGUCUCCUGGCUAAUAAUCUCCAGCCAGCUGGAGGAAGGAAGGGCGGGCUGGGCCCACCUAGCCUUUCCCUGCUGCCCAACUGGAUGGAAAAUAAAAGGUUCUUGUAUUCUCA